This 99-nucleotide non-coding RNA is filed under the name Pan troglodytes (chimpanzee). The record is from RNAcentral. Lineage: Eukaryota; Metazoa; Chordata; Mammalia; Primates; Hominidae.
AGGCUCAUAUGACAUUAACAGACAAGACACUUUUCAGAAAGACAGGCAACGUGUUGGACCUUCCUGAGCUUCUCAGAAGACAGAGGAUUUUCUUUUGAG